UGGGGAAUAUUGCGCAAUGGGGGGAACCCUGACGCAGCCAUGCCGCGUGAAUGAAGAAGGCCUUAGGGUUGUAAAGUUCUUUCGGUAUUGAGGAAGGUUGAUGUGUUAAUAGCACAUCAAAUUGACGUUAAAUACAGAAGAAGCACCGGCUAACUCCGUGCCAGCAGCCGCGGUAAUACGGAGGGUGCGAGCGUUAAUCGGAAUAACUGGGCGUAAAGGGCACGCAGGCGGUUAUUUAAGUGAGGUGUGAAAGCCCCGGGCUUAACCUGGGAAUUGCAUUUCAGACUGGGUAACUAGAGUACUUUAGGGAGGGGUAGAAUUCCACGUGUAGCGGUGAAAUGCGUAGAGAUGUGGAGGAAUACCGAAGGCGAAGGCAGCCCCUUGGGAAUGUACUGACGCUCAUGUGCGAAAGCAUGGGGAGCAAACAGGAUUAGAUACCCUGGUAGUCCACGCUGUAAACGCUGUCGAUUUGGGGGUUGGGGUUUAACUCUGGCGCCCGUAGCUAACGUGAUAAAUCGACCGCCUGGGGAGUACGGCCGCAAGGUUA
RNAcentral lists this ribosomal RNA (547 nucleotides) under uncultured bacterium. Its description in RNAcentral is "bacterial SSU rRNA". It matches the Rfam family "Bacterial small subunit ribosomal RNA", at positions 355 to 896 of the family's 1533-position model. The record is from RNAcentral.